Molecule: long non-coding RNA, 641 nt
Organism: Symphalangus syndactylus (siamang)
Lineage: Eukaryota; Metazoa; Chordata; Mammalia; Primates; Hylobatidae
Source: RefSeq, a predicted model, not a curated record
UGGGCCAGGCAUGGAACAAGGCAUUUGAUGAGCAUCAUUGAACACACAAACGAUGUUGAGGCACCACUGUGACCUGAAACCCCAUGCACAGGCAUCCACUCCACUGUGUGGGGGUUGAGCCAAGUGAAUAGAGCAACCCUUCACCUAGGGCAGAGUAGGAACGUUGUUGUGAACCCAGCCAUGACCAAUCGUCUGUGUUCUUCUCUCCGUGCCUAACAUUGUCAUCUCCCAUAUGCACCACUGGCCCACAUUUGAGAAAGAAUUCAAACUUCACUUCCUGACCAGGCUGGUCUCAAACUCCUGACCUCAAACCCCACUUUCUUCAUGAGGCUUGCUAUGACCCCACCACACCCACCAGAAAGUGGAUGGCUGGUAUCCAGUUUCCAUCCAAACUGCAGUCACCCUGCAAAAGAUGGAGGCACAGACUUGGCCCACUCUUCUCUCCACCAAAACUUACUGUGGUGUUCUCACAUCCACAUCUCAAGACAUCCCAGGGUUGAAUAUACUGCUCAACAAGCAGGGACCAGGGGCUCUAAAGUGCCUCCCAGUCACCACCAUCCUGAUUGAUCAUCAUCGUCACCACUGCCAUCAGCAGCAUCCCCACCAUCCAUCCAUCAUCUGUGAGCACCUCCUGUGCAUCA